GUACUCGCUUCAGCAGCACAUAUACUAAAAUUAGAAUGAUACAGAGAAGUUUAGUAUGGGCCCUGCACAAGCAUGACAUGCAAAUUCGUGAAGCAUUCCAUAUUUUU
This is a small nuclear RNA of Pan troglodytes (chimpanzee), 107 nucleotides long. NCBI's taxonomy places the organism in Eukaryota, Metazoa, Chordata, Mammalia, Primates, Hominidae. The record is from Ensembl.